UACGUAGGGUGCAAGCGUUAAUCGGAAUUACUGGGCGUAAAGCGUGCGCAGGCGGUUAUGCAAGGCAGAGGUGAAAUCCCCGGGCUCAACCUGGGAACUGCCUUUGUGACUGCAUAGCUAGAGUACGGUAGAGGGGGAUGGAAUUCCGCGUGUAGCAGUGAAAUGCGUAGAUAUGCGGAGGAACACCGAUGGCGAAGGCAAUCCCCUGGACCUGUACUGACGCUCAUGCACGAAAGCGUGGGGAGCAAACAGGAUUAGAUACCCUGGUAGUC
RNAcentral lists this ribosomal RNA (272 nucleotides) under uncultured Burkholderiales bacterium. RNAcentral describes it as "partial 16S ribosomal RNA". It matches the Rfam family "Bacterial small subunit ribosomal RNA", at positions 524 to 795 of the family's 1533-position model. The record is from RNAcentral. Lineage: Bacteria; Pseudomonadati; Pseudomonadota; Betaproteobacteria; Burkholderiales.